CAGCCGCCGCGGUAAUACGUAGGUGGCGAGCGUUGUCCGGAAUUACUGGGUGUAAAGGGAGCGCAGGCGGGGGGACAAGUCAGCUGUGAAAACUACCGGCUUAACCGAUAGAUUGCAGUUGAAACUGUUUUUCUUGAGUGGAGUAGAGGCAGGCGGAAUUCCGAGUGUAGCGGUGAAAUGCGUAGAUAUUCGGAGGAACACCGGUGGCGAAGGCGGCCUGCUGGGCUCUAACUGACGCUGAGGCUCGAAAGUGUGGGGAGCAAACAGGAUUAGAUACCCUGGUAGUCCACACUGUAAACGAUGAUUGCUAGGUGUGGGGGGUCUGACCCCUUCCGUGCCGGAGCUAACGCAAUAAGCAAUCCACCUGGGGAGUACGGCCGCAAGGUUGAAACUCAAAGGAAUUGACGGGGGCCCGCACAAGCAGUGGAUUAUGUGGUUUAAUUCGAAGCAACGCGAAGAACCUUACCAGGUCUUGACAUCCGGCUAACGAGGCAGAGAUGCGUCAGGUGCCCUUCGGGGAAAGUCGAGACAGGAGGUGCAUGGCC
RNAcentral lists this ribosomal RNA (545 nucleotides) under uncultured archaeon. RNAcentral's name for it is "bacterial SSU rRNA". It matches the Rfam family "Bacterial small subunit ribosomal RNA", at positions 509 to 1050 of the family's 1533-position model. The record is from RNAcentral.